AGUGACAAAUUAAAAGCAAGAGCUCUUAGGUUUGGGAUAACACAAUAAUAACAAUAUUUAAAAAUAAAAUAGAAUAAAUAACAAAGUGUAAUAUAAUAAGUGACAAAAUAGAAUAUAAUAAGUGACAAAAAUAAAAUAAAUAAAUGAUAAAAUAAUUUAAAUUGAAAGUUAAACUUUAUUUAAUGAAAAAUGAUUAAAUAUAAGUGAAAACUUGUUUUUUUUUAUGUUUGUUUAUGGUAGGUUUUGUAUGAAUUUCCAUUUUCAUUUUCAUUUUUUUUUACCCAUUUUUUUUCUUUUUCUUUUUUAAGUAUAAGUGAUAUAUGUAAUAUGUUUUAAAUAAAAAAUAUAAUUGUUUUUAAUAUAAAUUGAUUAAUAGAAUACUUAAGAUAAAUAUUAUUCAUGUUUCUAAUUUUUAUAUACUUAAAAAAAAAAAAAAAAAAAAAAAAAAAACGUACGUCCACAUAUAGUUGGCCCAAUUUAAUUAUUUAGAAAAAAAAAAAAAAAAUUAAUAAUAGCAAUGGUAAUAUAACAUCAAUGUAAUAAUAAAAUAAUGUGGGGCAUUAAAAAAAAGCUCUCCAUAAUAAUAUAAAAAAAUGACAAUAGUGUAUGUAGUAAAAAAAAAUAAUGUAAAACUUAUGAAUUUGCAUAAGUGAAGACUAGUAUAAAGCAUAAAAAAAAAAAAAAAAAUAAAACAAUAAAACAUGUUUUAUUAAUAACAAAAAAAAUUAUAACAUAAAGUCUACUCAGAAAGGCUUAGUUUUAGAGCACUAAGAAAAAAAGAUAGUAAGUAAUGUAUUCGUAAUUUUAUAAUUUUUUUUUUUUGCUCUUUUAUUCAUUUUAAUUUUAAUAAAUAUAAUUUUAAGCAUAUAAACUUAUAUAUAUAUAUAUAUACACCCUUAUAAUAAACCAUUUCAAUUGCUUUCAAUUGCAUUUGUAAAGUUUUAAUUUUUUAUUUUUCUUUUCUUUAUAUGCUGACACUAUGUCUACUACAAGAUGGGUACAUAGACAAGCGAAUGAUAAUGAAGAAGACAUAGUUUCGUUAAAUAAUAUCAAAGAAAGAUAUUUAAAAGAUAAAAUAAAAGGAGGCAGAAACAUAAGUAAACGGCGGAUGCCUUCUUCAAAGCCAAUAACUAAGGAGAACGAGCAUGAGUACGAACUUGAGUAUGGACACGAGUAUGGACAUGAAUAUGAACAUGAAUAUGAACAUGAAUAUGAACAUGAAUAUGAAGAUAAAUAUGAACAUGAAUAUGAACAUGAAUAUGAACAUGAGCACGAAAAUGAACACGAGUAUAAAUACAAUUAUAAAUACGAAAAUAAAAAUGCACAAAAUAUUUACGCAAAUAAAAAUACACAAAACGUAUACCCAAGUAAAAAUACAAAAAAUGUUUAUGCGAGUAAAAGCUCCAAAAAUAUAUACGAUGAUAAAAAAAAACUGAUAACAUUCUAUGAAAAAAAGCCGACAAAACCAAAGAAUGUUGCAAAUAAAAAUUUUCCCCUGCAUAAUGUAAAUACAUAUGGUGGUAGUGGUGGUGGUAGUGGUAGUGGUAGUGGUAGUAAUAAAAAAAAAAGCGACGAAAAAAAUGUUUUAGAGAAAAAAGGAAAUUAUAACUCUGUAAAAGAAAAUAAUAGAACUAUAAUAUAUUAUAAAGAUAUUAAAAAUAAGAUUAACGAUCCAAACAGUAAAAUAAAAACAAACGAAAAACAUUAUAAUCGUGUUUAUUCAGUUAAUAAUAAAAAUAAGCUAGUUAAUAAAAAAACGGAAUCAACAAAAGAUAAUGUAAACAUUUGUUUGGAUAUUAAUAUCCAAUGGGAUAGAGAAAAAGACGAGAAUAAUAAUAGUAAUAAUAUUAACAAUAUAGAUGCAAAUAAUAAUAUAAAAAAAAUACCUAUUCAUUUAAGAGAAAACAAAAACAACACUAUGAAACUAAAAAAUAUAAAAUGUUCUCCUACGUUAUUUACAAAAAAAAAUGCAUUUAAUUAUAAAAAUUGUACUUAUAAAAAACAUGUUUCUCCAAAGAAUGAAAAUUAUGUAAAUGAAAACGAGUAUGAAGAGAGGAAACAAAAAAAUACAAACACAACGAUGUAUUAUCAAAAUGAAAAAGACUAUUAUCAUCAACAUGAACAGGUAUAUAUACAAGAUGAUGAACAAGAACAGAAUUUUGUUAGAUAUAAUAAUAGUACUACUGACAGUAGUAAUAAUAACAAUAGUAACAUUAUGCAAAAAAUAAGAAAACAAACAAACAACAUACAAAAUUAUGAUACAGUAGAAAAAAAAUAUUAUCCAUAUUAUCAAAAUAUAUCUGGACAAUGUGUUAAAAAGGAGUACAAUAAUUGUGAUAAAAAUAACCAGCUAAAUGAAAUUAAUGAUGUGUAUCUUAAAAAUAAAAAUAAUAACCAGUAUGACAAUGUAAUUAUCUAUCAUAGGAAUAAUCAAGUAAAUUAUAUUAAAAAUAAAAACGAAAAUUGUAUUACAAAUUAUAAUGAAAAUCAAAGUAAUACAUGCAACAAGUUUAGAUAUAACAGUGAGAGUAAAAAUAGUUAUAAUGAGGAUACUACCUAUGGUGAGGAUAAUACUAAACAUAAUAAAGAAUAUGAUCAUGAAUCUGAUUCAACUGCGUAUAAACAAAAAGUAAAAAAAGAAAACAUAAAAAAUGGGUAUAAUUAUGAUAAACAAAAAGAAAAUAAUAAUAAAAAAUUAAAUAAUAAAGAAUUAAAUAAACCUACAUUAUGUUUUACUCAAAAUUUAAGUUUAAAUCAAUAUAAAGAAAACUUUAAUUAUAAUAAAAACAAUUAUGAUAAUAAGGAAUACUAUAAUAAACAGCUAAAUAGUUAUAAAGACUUACACAUAAAUAAUAUUAUUAUUGCUUCGAAAAUAUUAAAUAACCUAUUGUUAAAUAAAACUAAUCAUUAUUUUUUAUUCCUUAAAGAAUAUUUUUUAUUUGUAAAUAAUACAAAACCAAUCUAUACAAAAUACACUCCAAAAAAUGAAAACAAUAAUAAUAGAUUUAUGAAUAAGAUCACGAAUCCUUUAUUUAAAAACAGAAAGCAACACUACCACCAAUCACAAGAUGCUUUAACAUGUCAAGUAUAUGAAGAGCAAAACGAAGAAAUAGUGAAUUAUCAACAAAAUAACACACACAUUAACACAUGCAAUAUCGAACAAACGAAAUUUAAACAAAAACAUGUGAAUAAAAAUAAUUUUAUAAAUAGACAUAACAAUGAUGAAUAUAUUAUAAUAAACCAAAACAAUUAUGUCCAUCAUUUUGAUAAUAUCUAUGAUACAUAUCAUGUUGAUAAUGACGAUAACAUUUAUAAAAAGGAACAAUUUUAUGAUACCCAAUUCGAUAGUGUAAAAAAAGGAAUACACAAAAAUAUUAAAUUGGUUAAUUAUUUUUCGAAAAAAAAAAUUCUAGGCAACACUUUAAUUGAUAGUUUUAAUAAUGUAGAUGUAAAUGAUUCAAGGAGAAAAAAAAAAUAUUUAAAAUUUUUUGUUAUUUUGUUAUCUAUAUUUUUAAAAAAGUGUUCUCAUAAAUUGCUGUCUAGUUUUUUUAUUUCUAUGGGAUCACUACAAAGAACUCAGCAACAAAAAAGAAUAAUAAGCAUGUUCAUCAAUACAAGAAUCUAUUUUUUAUCUAUACUUGAAGCAUUUUUAAAGAAGAGGAAAAAACAAAAUGUUAAAAUUGCUUUUACUAUAUUGAAGCAAAAUUGGAUGAUCACAAAAAAAUGGAAACAAAAUAUAUCGAUGGAAAAUGACACUGAUUAUGAAAAAACAACAACAGCAACAAAACAAAUUGAGUUAUAUACGCAAAGUAAUAACGAAAAAAAUAAUAGAAACAGCUUUAUAAAUCCAAAAAGGAAUAAUAACCUAUUUUUUCAAAGAGAACAAGAUAAUAUUUCAGCACAAAAAAGUUAUAAUCAAAUGAUACAAGUUCAUACCCAAAAGUUUAAUAAGACCUUAUGGAAUGAAAACAAAAUAUUAACAAAAAUAUUUCAAUCUAAAAAAUAUUUGAAAAAUGCAUGUUUUGGCAAACCUAAAAUAUAUAGAACAGAUGAUUAUGCAAUUUUUUAUAAUAAAAAAAUAUUAAAAGAAAAUGAUGAGAUAUUAAAAAAAUGUUUAUUGAGGUCUAAAUCAGAUUCUUUACUUGAUUUUUUAAACUCGUACAAAGUAAAUAAAUUUGCAAAAAUUAAUUCUUCUAAUUUAUAUGACUCCAUACAGCAUGUUGAUUACAAAACUUCCGGUACAUUACUUGAGCGUUUUUAUACAGCUAACUAUAAUUUAGAUACACAAAAUUUAAAUUUUGAUGUAUACAAAAGUAGAAACACAUUUUCAACUUGUAAACAACAACCUGUUGAAGAAUCUAGCUUUUUUUUAAAAAAUUUAAAUAAUAUAAAAAAUAACUCAAAUAAUAUAACAAAAAGCAAUGAGACCUCUUUGUUAGAUGCUAGCGUACAAACAUACAGGCAAAGAAAAGAUUUUCAGUAUAGUACAAUACAAAAUUCAAACUUAUAUGAUUUUGUUGAUUACUCAAAUAAGUCAGCUACAUAUGAUACUAAUGCAAAAAAUGAUAAUUUUACAAACAAAACGAACGAAAUAAACUAUUCAAGUAACAAAGAUAUAAAUGAUAAACAGUGUAGAAUGUUUUUUAAAAAUAUUAAAAAACAACUAAAAAUAAAUUACACCGAAUUAAUUGAUACUAAUGAAAAAAAAGAUAAUUACUUAAGUAUAAGUGAUUUAAAUAGCCCUAUUAAUAUAUUAAAACAUUAUGAUACUGAUGUUUCCCAAUAUGAUACUAUGAGAAAUAGUGAUGUAAACAAUUCUCUAACAGACUUAAAUUUCUUAACACAAUCAGAUUUAAUUCUUGUAAAUAAAUUUGCGGAAAAAAACUGGAAAGAAGUAAGCUAAUUCUAACUGGUGAAAGGAAUUACGCAGAGAAAAAAAAAUAACAUAAAAAUUAAAUAUUAUUUUCGUAAAUCACUUGGAAAGAUUUUUUUUAUUGCAA
Long non-coding RNA from Piliocolobus tephrosceles (Ugandan red Colobus), 5000 nucleotides. NCBI's taxonomy places the organism in Eukaryota, Metazoa, Chordata, Mammalia, Primates, Cercopithecidae. The record is from Ensembl.